This 75-nucleotide transfer RNA is filed under the name Mannheimia haemolytica. Its description in RNAcentral is "tRNA-Val(tac)". It matches the Rfam family "tRNA". Rfam says of the family: Transfer RNA (tRNA) molecules are approximately 80 nucleotides in length. Their secondary structure includes four short double-helical elements and three loops (D, anti-codon, and T loops). The record is from RNAcentral. Lineage: Bacteria; Pseudomonadati; Pseudomonadota; Gammaproteobacteria; Pasteurellales; Pasteurellaceae.
UGGCGAUUAGCUCAGUUGGGAGAGCACCUCCCUUACAAGGAGGGGUCACUGGUUCGAGACCGGUAUCGCCCACCA